Long non-coding RNA from Calypte anna (Anna's hummingbird), 564 nucleotides. RefSeq lists it as uncharacterized. Lineage: Eukaryota; Metazoa; Chordata; Aves; Apodiformes; Trochilidae. The transcript has 3 exons. The record is from RefSeq and is a predicted model, not a curated record.
AACCCAAGCUCCCUUAGCCUCUCCUUUCAGUUGCUUUGGCUCCAGUCCUCUGUAAGAUCCUUUCCAGGUUCCUUAUUGAUCUUGAGAAAGAGGAAGCCCCAAAAACUUGCAACAGGAGGAUGUUGGUGCAGGGAGGAGAAAACAGACUGUAGUAGAGCAAAUUAAUGGUGGUUCAGUUAUCUAGGCUUAGGGGAACAAGAAAGAAGACAUCCACAGUUUCCCUACCUUGAAAACGCUACAAUGUAUAUCCCGUUGUGCUAAUCUAAGCUGAUUUUGCUGUUCACCACAUAGCACUGCAAUUUAAGGUGGUUUUACUGCUGACUGCAGAGUGUUGCACAGGAAAGAGCGAAGGAGCGCAUGUGCGGAAUCGAAGGGUAACAAGAGGGCAAACUGAGGAAGACUACUGACUUCAUCCAACGACCACCAGAUGGGGGUCAAAAAGACCCUCAGAGAUAAAGUGGGCAUGUGCCUUUGAAGGCCUGCCUCUUCCAAGAACUUAUAAACAUAAUCCAGCCUAUUCCUAGAACAGUCAUGAAUGUGUAUUAAAAUAGUUAUGAAUAUGUA